GGUAAUUCCAGCUCCAAUAGCGUAUAUUAAAGUUGUUGCGGUUAAAAAGCUCGUAGUUGGAUUUCUGCUGAGGACGACCGGUCCGCCCUCUGGGUGUGUAUCUGGCUCGGCCUGGGCAUCUUCUUGGAGAACGUAGCUGCACUUGACUGUGUGGUGCGGUAUCCAGGACUUUUACUUUGAGGAAAUUAGAGUGUUUCAAGCAGGCAUAUGCCUUGAAUACAUUAGCAUGGAAUAAUAAGAUAGGACCUUGGUUCUAUUUUGUUGGCUUCUAGAGCCGAGGUAAUGAUUAAUAGGGAUAGUUGGGGGCAUUCGAAUUUAACUGUCAGAGGUGAAAUUCUUGGAUUGUGUUGCGACGAACUACUGCGAAAGCAUUUGCCAAGGAUGUUUUCAUUGAUCAAGAACGAAAGUAAGGGGAUCGAAGACGAUUAGAUACCGUCGUAGUCUUUACCAUAAACUAUGCCAACUAGAGAUGGGGCAUCGUUCACUUACGACUUGCUCCGCACCUUAUGAGAUAUCAAAGUCUUUGGGUUCCGGGGGGAGUAUGGUCGCAAGGCUGAAACUUAAAGGAAUUGACGGAAGGGCACCACCAGGAGUGGAGCCUGCGGCUUAAUUUGACUCAACACGGGGAAACUCACCAGGUCCAGACAUAAUAAGGAUUGACAGAUUGAUAGCUCUUUCUUGAUUUUAUGGGUGGUGGUGCAUGGCCGUUCUUAGUUCGUGGAGUGAUUUGUCUGCUUAAUUGCGUUAACGAACGAGACCUUAACCUGCUAAAUAGAAGUGCCUAUCUUCGGAUAAGCGUCUUUCUUCUUAGAGGGACUUUAUGCGUUUCAGCAUGAGGAAGUUUGAGGCUAAAACAGGUCUGUGAUGCCC
RNAcentral lists this ribosomal RNA (870 nucleotides) under uncultured eukaryote. Its description in RNAcentral is "SSU rRNA". It matches the Rfam family "Eukaryotic small subunit ribosomal RNA", at positions 578 to 1472 of the family's 1831-position model. The record is from RNAcentral.